This 253-nucleotide ribosomal RNA is filed under the name uncultured bacterium. RNAcentral describes it as "partial 16S ribosomal RNA". It matches the Rfam family "Bacterial small subunit ribosomal RNA", at positions 524 to 776 of the family's 1533-position model. The record is from RNAcentral.
UACGUAGGGUGCGAGCGUUGUCCGGAAUUAUUGGGCGUAAAGAGCUUGUAGGCGGUUUGUCGCGUCUGCUGUGAAAAUCCGGGGCUCAACCCCGGACUUGCAGUGGGUACGGGCAGACUAGAGUGUGGUAGGGGAGACUGGAAUUCCUGGUGUAGCGGUGAAAUGCGCAGAUAUCAGGAGGAACACCGAUGGCGAAGGCAGGUCUCUGGGCCACUACUGACGCUGAGGAGCGAAAGCGUGGGGAGCAAACAGG